AAGUCGUAACAAGGUUUCCGUAGGUGAACCUGCGGAAGGAUCAUUAACACGUCCCAUUUAUUCUUGUAUCCUUUCGUGAACUUUAGAUGAUUAUUUGAAUUGAAUUAGUAUUCUGAGAAAAGAUGUAAUAGAGAGGAUAUCAGAUCCCAGGAUAUACUCUGGGUAAAUGAUAAACUGCUAUUAUAACACCUUCUUAAGAAGAACAUUCAAGUGUAAAAUUAUAUGAUCAUUGUAUUUUUUUACAUAAAAUAAUUCAUCGACCAUUGUUAUUACCAAUAAACCUUAUCACUUGUAAUUUUCGACCCUUGAUUCGAUCAUGAAACAAGUGUGUCUUAAAUACAUUGUUAUUUAUCAUUUCUCAUUUCAUUUGAAAAAAUGAAGAAAUUAACUCUGUACAACUCUUAGCAACGGAUGUCUUGGUUCCC
This 425-nucleotide unclassified non-coding RNA is filed under the name fungal sp. RNAcentral's name for it is "partial internal transcribed spacer region". The stretch from base 1 to 46 matches the Rfam family "Eukaryotic small subunit ribosomal RNA", at positions 1786 to 1831 of the family's 1831-position model. Lineage: Eukaryota; Fungi. The record is from RNAcentral. RNAcentral also lists the same sequence under 1 other name.